UAAGAUAAUAUACCGGCAUAUUAACUAUGUUCUUCCAUCCUAAUGCACUGCAGGUUUUUGUUUGCUGAGUACCGCAUGUUGUACAUAAUAACUAUCUUUUAUGUAAAUUGACUAAUUAAAUUCUAUUCUCACUUCUGCAAUUGUUUAUGGUUUCACUAUACAUUAUUCUCUUUUGCUAAAAAUGUCCCACAAUGGCAGAUUGUGAGUAAUGAGACAACUGCAGAGGCUGAUUGACAUUCACAUGACAACUAUUACCCAAGCUGCAGCAAAUGCAACAUUUUGAACUUUUUGGUCCUUGGUCAGGUGAUGAAUGUGCAUCUAUAGACAGUGUAUCUGGGUGUACAGUUUUAACUUGUUUCUUUGUUCCUGAGCUAAGAAUCUUUUGUAAGCACUGAAUUGUUAUAUCCAAUCAGUUGAAGUAUCCGAUGCU
Non-coding RNA from Phoenix dactylifera (date palm), 430 nucleotides. NCBI's taxonomy places the organism in Eukaryota, Viridiplantae, Streptophyta, Magnoliopsida, Arecales, Arecaceae. The record is from RefSeq and is a predicted model, not a curated record.